AUGGCCGCCGCCCCGCCGCUCGCCGCGGCGCUCCUGGCCGUCCUGCUGGCGCUCGCAGCCCCGGCGGCGGCCGAGAUCCGCUCCACGGCGAUCCGGGCCGACCCGCGCACCAUCAUCCCGCUCGACGAGUUCGGCUUCUCCAACCAGGGCGUGCUGGAGCUCAACGUCACCGGCAUCGCCUUCGACCCCCCCGCCUCGCCGGACCUCGACCUCUCCCAGUUCGGCUUCUUCCUCUCCACCCUCGACGCCUGGGUGCACGUCCUCCGCCAGCUCCAGGACCUCGAGGUCACCUGCGCGCUCCAGUCUGACCUCGUCAGGCUCGCCUACUCCUUCGACCGCCUCCGCCCGCCGUCCAACCCCGCCGGCGUCCCGGUCGCCCGCUCCUCCUCCUUCACCUACGCCUUCCACGUCACCGAGCCCGGCCAGUACACGCUCGUCUUCGCCAACUGCCUCGCCGGCGCCGGCGGGGACCUCAGGGUCUCCAUGGACGUCAGCUCCGCCAUGUACAACGUCGACCCGGCCACCGGCCAGCGCGCCUACCUCUCCGUCGGCUCCUCCGCGCUGCCCUCCAUCUACUUCCUCUUCUGCGUCGUCUACGCCGCGCUCGCCGCCGGCUGGGUCUCCAUCCUGCUGCGCAAGCGCACCGCCGUCUUCCGGAUCCACUACUUCAUGCUCGCGGUCCUCGUGCUCAAGGGCUUCAACCUCCUCGCCGAGGCCGAGGACAAGUCCUACAUCGAGCGCACCGGCACCGCGCACGGCUGGGAUGUGCUCUUCUACAUCUUCAGCUUCCUCAAGGGGAUCUCGCUCUUCACGCUCAUUGUGCUCAUCGGCACUGGCUGGUCCUUCCUCAAGCCCUACCUGGCGGACCGUGAGAAGAAGGUGCUCAUGGUGGUCAUCCCCCUGCAGGUAGUGGCCAACAUUGCGCAGGUGGUCAUCGAUGAAUCUGGGCCGUAUGCCCGAGACUGGGUCACCUGGAGGCAGAUAUUCCUGCUGGUGGAUGUGGUCUGCUGCUGCGCCAUUCUAUUCCCGAUUGUCUGGUCAAUCAAGAACCUCCGGGAGGCUGCCCGCUCUGACGGGAAAGCGGCAGUGAACCUGAUGAAGCUCACCCUUUUCCGUCAGUACUACGUGGUUGUCAUCUGCUACAUUUACUUCACGCGCGUUGUGGUGUACGCGCUGGUGACCAUCACCUCGUACCGGUACCUCUGGACUAGCGUUGUGGCUGGAGAGAUUGCCACCCUUGCAUUCUAUGUGUUCACUGGGUACAGGUUCCGGCCUGAGGUGCAUAACCCAUACUUUGCGAUUGAUGAUGAUGAGGAGGAGGCUGCAGCUGAGGCACUCAAGUUGGAUGAUGAAUUUGAGCUAUGA
RNAcentral lists this ribosomal RNA (1365 nucleotides) under Triticum aestivum (bread wheat). RNAcentral's name for it is "partial small subunit ribosomal RNA". The record is from RNAcentral. Lineage: Eukaryota; Viridiplantae; Streptophyta; Magnoliopsida; Poales; Poaceae.